This 459-nucleotide ribosomal RNA is filed under the name uncultured bacterium. Its description in RNAcentral is "partial 16S ribosomal RNA". It matches the Rfam family "Bacterial small subunit ribosomal RNA", at positions 339 to 795 of the family's 1533-position model. The record is from RNAcentral.
CUACGGGUCGCUCCAGUAAGGAAUAUUGCGCAAUGGAGGCAACUCUGACGCAGCCAUGCCGCGUGCAGGAAGAAGGCCUUAUGGGUCGUAAACUGCUUUUAUUUAGGAAUAAACCCCCGAACGUGUUCGGGGCUGAAGGUACUAAACGAAUAAGCACCGGCUAACUCCGGGCCAGCAGCCGCGGUAAUACGGAGGGUGCAAGCGUUAUCCGGAUUUAUUGGGUUUAAAGGGUGCGCAGGCGGGCUAUUAAGUCAGUGGUGAAAUCCCGGGGCUCAACUCCGGAACUGCCAUUGAUACUGAUAGUCUUGAGUUUGGUUGAAGUGGGCGGAAUGUAGCAUGUAGCGGUGAAAUGCAUAGAUAUGCUACAGAACACCAAUCGCGAAGGCAGCUCACUAAGCCAAAACUGACGCUCAUGCACGAAAGCGUGGGGAUCAAACAGGAUUAGAUACCCCAGUAGUC